This 486-nucleotide ribosomal RNA is filed under the name uncultured bacterium. RNAcentral describes it as "partial 16S ribosomal RNA". It matches the Rfam family "Bacterial small subunit ribosomal RNA", at positions 899 to 1397 of the family's 1533-position model. The record is from RNAcentral.
ACUCAAAUGAAUAGACGGGGACCCGCACAACCAGUGGAGCAUGUGGUUUAAUUCGAGACAAAGCGAAAGACCUCACCAGGGUUUGAAAUGUUAGUGCAAAUCCUAUGAAAGUAGGACUUCUUCGAGAGUCUAACACAGCUGCUGCAUGGCUGUCGUCAGCUCGUGCCGUGAGGUAUUGGCUUAAGUGCCAAAACGAGCGCAACCCCCAUCCAAUGUUAAAUAUUCAUUGGAGACCGCAGUCGAUUAUUCGACUGAGGAAGGAGGGGACGACGUCAAGUCAGCACGGCGUUUAUAUCCUGGGCAACACACAUCCUACAAUGGCGAAUAACAACGAGUUGCCAGCCCGCGAGGGUAAGCUAAUCUCUGAAAUUUCGCCUCAGUUGGAAUUGGAGUCUGCAACCCGACUCCAUGAACUAGGAAUUGGUAGUAAUCGCGGAUCAGCAGGUCGCGGUGAAUACGUUCUCGGGUCUUGUACACACCGCCCGU